Molecule: transfer RNA, 77 nt
Filed under: Sphingomonadales bacterium
Lineage: Bacteria; Pseudomonadati; Pseudomonadota; Alphaproteobacteria; Sphingomonadales
Description: tRNA-Arg
Rfam family: tRNA
About the family: Transfer RNA (tRNA) molecules are approximately 80 nucleotides in length. Their secondary structure includes four short double-helical elements and three loops (D, anti-codon, and T loops).
Source: RNAcentral
GGCCCCGUAGCUCAGCUGGAUAGAGCACCUGCCUUCUAAGCAGGUUGUCGCAGGUUCGAAUCCUGCCGGGGUCGCCA